Long non-coding RNA from Ictalurus punctatus (channel catfish), 1956 nucleotides. The record is from Ensembl. Lineage: Eukaryota; Metazoa; Chordata; Actinopteri; Siluriformes; Ictaluridae.
AAAUCAUCUUCGGCGACGCCAUCGUCUACGUGGAUCAUUAAUGUCCUCAUGAGCAACUACAUGGGCAUUUUCCCCCUUUGGAGUGGCAUAUUGCUUGGGGACCUGAGCAGAUUCUGACCUGAGCAAUGGGCCAAGAGAUCCCUAUCUCAAAGACCAGCAAAGCAUCAUUCAAAGUAUUUUGAUCCACCAGAAGCAGUGCCCCAACCAAAAAGACACAAGAAAAAGCAAACAUCUGAGGAUCAUUCAGAGGACACAUCCAGAUCCAUGCUCUGUGGUCUAAGAAAGCAUGUGAGAUAGUCAUUGCCGUCACACAGUCAAAGGAAAAAAAAGGUCUUAUAUCCUGCAUCAUUCAGAGCUGAAAACACUCCAGCCACAUAAAUGGCUGGUGGGGGAGACAAUCCAAUGCUAUUUUGAAGUGGUGGUGAAUAACAGAGACCAGGGACACAGGAUUUUUAUACUAGAUCACUUUGAUGACUACGAAGGAAUGAUAAGUUUCCUGAAUGUCAACGGGAAUCAUUGGAUAUUUUUGUAUCUCCAUGCAGCAUCCAGCCAGGUGUUUGUUGUAGACCCAGCAGUACAUAAUGAAGACGCAAAAUCCAUGCAUGCAGCCACUAGAUUUCAGUAAUAUUUUUUGCUUGUUAUAUACUGUGCUUACAAAGAUGGGUUACAAAUUUAAAAAAAGCAUGAAUGCUUAGCCCCUAGUGUGAAGAGGCCCACUUCUUUUUGGUGUGUUUUCUUGUCACGGGGUAUUGAAUGGUGAAUGAUAUGCUGUGUUCUUUUCUAUCACCAGAUCUUUAGUAAAAUUAAACAAAAAUUAGAUUUUGGACCAAACUGUUUGUCAGUGCUCUCCAGUAUCAUCUUGAAAAUGUAAACAUUUUGAAAUAUAUUUUGAAAAAUGUAUGUUCUAUCCCUCCUGUUGGUGUUCCAGAGACUUGGCAUAGAUCUUGCAGAUCUCUGGAUCCUUAACGAUUAUUUUCGUAAGAAUAAAAUGACAGUCUUCGAGUCUUUUACAUUGUGUAAGUAUACUAGUCUUCUCAUAAGGUUUUUUUUUUAAUGCUGUCAAAUCCUUACAAUAAUUUUACUUAUUAACUUUUACUGUAAGUAGCAAGCAAUUCACAAUAAUUGUUAAGUGUAAAGUGAGUGAGAUAUGUAAAGACAAUAAUUAUACUACAUAUAAAAAUAUACUACAUAUAUAGGAAAUGAGUAGGCAAUAAUGUUUUAACACUUAAUGUUAUCCUGUCAAUCAUUUUGAUUCGCUUAACACACUUUUUUUCCCCCCACACAUUCAGUGUUUUAUGCACUAAAGCAAAAUGGAUAAUGUUGCCUUUCUAAUAAUAUAAUUAUAUUUAUAUGACCUGUAAAGAGAACGGAGAGCACAAUGCAGAACAUUCAUUUAAAUUGACUAACACAGUGGGUCUCUUAAAUAAAAAAGAUUCACAACAACAUUUAUUGUUUGGAGUUUGUACUAACAUUUGGUAAACAUAUGGUUGUAAAAAAGAACCUUAAAGUAGUUUAAAUAACACGAAUGUGUUUUUAUUGGUUUUGGGGCCUUUUUUGCUUUAUUUUGGUAGGGAUAGUAGAAAAUUGACAAGGCAAUAUAGGAUAGAAGUGUGGGGGUGUGAUCGGGAAAAUACCCUAUGAGCUGGGAAAUGAACCCUUCACUGUAGGAGAAAAGCAAUUGAUUUGUCAUCUUUCUCUACAUUUAGACUCAACAAAGAAUUAACAAAUAAAUAGGUCAUUUACAUGAAGAAUGUUCAUGAUUUUCUUUAUGUACACUGCCUAGACUCUAGACACGAACUAGAAAUUUUUAAUUAAAUGCUAUUCCUAAAUUAUCCGCUAGGGGCGCACUGAUUUAUUCAGAGUAGAAGACGCGACACAACCCUGGAUCUCAGACCGAACAGCAGAUGGUAGCAAUGCGCCUUCUGCUGUUUGUUAUUACACUGUGACCAUUUGUAA